Molecule: ribosomal RNA, 557 nt
Filed under: uncultured bacterium
Lineage: Bacteria
Description: bacterial SSU rRNA
Rfam family: Bacterial small subunit ribosomal RNA
Source: RNAcentral
ACGGGUGAGUAACGCGUGGGAAUCUACCCAUCUCUACGGAAUAACGCAUGGAAGCGUGUGCUAAUACCGUAUACGUCCUUCGGGAGAAAGAUUUAUCGGAGAUGGAUGAGCCCGCGUUGGAUUAGCUAGUUGGUGGGGCAAAGGCCUACCAAGGCGACGAUCCAUAGCUGGUCUGAGAGGAUGAUCAGCCACACUGGGACUGAGACACGGCCCAGACUCCUACGGGAGGCAGCAGUGGGGAAUAUUGGACAAUGGGCGCAAGCCUGAUCCAGCCAUGCCGCAUGAGUGAUGAAGGCCCUAGGGUUGUAAAGCUCUUUCACCGGUGAAGAUAAUGACGGUAACCGGAGAAGAAGCCCCGGCUAACUUCGUGCCAGCAGCCGCGGUAAUACGAAGGGGGCUAGCGUUGUUCGGAGUUACUGGGCGUAAAGCGCACGUAGGCGGACUAUUAAGUCAGGGGUGAAAUCCCGGGGCUCAACCCCGGAACUGCCUUUGAUACUGGUAGUCUUGAGUUCGAGAGAGGUGAGUGGAAUUCCGAGUGUAGAGGUGAAAUUCGUAGA